UGAGGAAUAUUGGUCAAUGGGCGAGAGCCUGAACCAGCCAAGUAGCGUGCAGGAUGACGGCCCUAUGGGUUGUAAACUGCUUUUAUGUGGGGAUAAAGUGCGUGACGUGUCAUGCAUUGCAGGUACCACAUGAAUAAGGACCGGCUAAUUCCGUGCCAGCAGCCGCGGUAAUACGGAAGGUCCGGGCGUUAUCCGGAUUUCUUGGGUUUAAAGGGAGCGUAGGCUGUCUAUUAAGCGUGUUGUGAAAUUUACCGGCUCAACCGGUGGCUUGCAGCGCGAACUGGUCGACUUGAGUAUGCAGGAAGUAGGCGGAAUUCAUGGUGUAGCGGUGAAAUGCUUAGAUAUCAUGACGAACUCCGAUUGCGCAGGCAGCUUACUGUAGCAUAACUGACGCUGAUGCUCGAAAGUGCGGGUAUCAAACAGG
RNAcentral lists this ribosomal RNA (424 nucleotides) under Fusobacteriota bacterium. Its description in RNAcentral is "Fusobacteria bacterium partial 16S ribosomal RNA". It matches the Rfam family "Bacterial small subunit ribosomal RNA", at positions 355 to 776 of the family's 1533-position model. The record is from RNAcentral. Lineage: Bacteria; Fusobacteriati; Fusobacteriota.